This 67-nucleotide transfer RNA is filed under the name Habropoda radoszkowskii. RNAcentral describes it as "tRNA-Met". Lineage: Eukaryota; Metazoa; Arthropoda; Insecta; Hymenoptera; Apidae. The record is from RNAcentral.
AUAUAAAUAAGCUAAAUUUAAGCUCUUAGGCUCAUACCCUAAUUAUAGAAUUAUAUUCUUUUAUGUA